Stegostoma tigrinum is the source of this 1021-nucleotide long non-coding RNA. RefSeq lists it as uncharacterized. The transcript has 3 exons. The record is from RefSeq and is a predicted model, not a curated record. Lineage: Eukaryota; Metazoa; Chordata; Chondrichthyes; Orectolobiformes; Stegostomatidae.
UGGAGUUAUCAGGUAACCACUGUGACAUCCACAUCAGGAAUUAUCUAGUUUCUCUCUGCUAUUCAAGAGAAUAGAAUGGUAAAUUAUUCUCGUGUACUUUUAAAAAAAAAACGGAUAAUUUCAUAAGUCACCAUACCGUGACACCUGUACUAAUGAUGGAAGUUAUAGAAAAGAAUAGAAAAGUAAAAAUUGAGACAGAGUUCAUCUCAUAUCAACUUCAAUUCAGCGAAAGUUGAUUAAGACAACGAACGCUGGAAAACCUGGAAGCUGCCUCGGAAGAAGACCUCCAUACUGAUGAGACCUCCACAUUCGGGAUAAGACAGCCAAACCUGGAGACCGCCAUGCCAAGCCGACACUGCCCCUUCAGGAAUAGGCUGCCACAAUGGGAAACUGUUGCUUCAAGCUGGAAUACAAGACCUUCACACUGGAUUGAGACCUCAAUGCCGCGCAUUCGGACAAGACCUCCCACGGCAGGACUGGACAUGAUCACUGUGCCAGGCCACUGAAAUACCUGGAAGCUGCGGCCAAAGGAAAUCUCCAUACCGAGACCGCCAAACCUGAGACUGCCAUGCCACUGCAACAGGGCCGUGACCGCAGUGCUGGGCCGGAAGACACCUCUUCACUAGGCUGGGAGAAGAUGCCUUCUCCCAAACAAGUUAAAAAAUGUAACAUAAUAAAUGGAGAUGUUAAGAAGAAGAAAAGGGUAAAACAUGGACAGAGUAGAGGAGCCCACAAGCUGCACUGCUACAUCAUCGCUAUCUUGCUUCAACAACAGCAAACUCUGUACAAAUGAGACGAGAAUGACAACAAUGAGAUGGAAGACCUGUGGAGACUGACAGAAGCCUGAUUUGAGGGGUUCAGUACAGAAAAGAUGAGUGCAGAUUCGGUGCAUGACAAGACCUUCCAGAACUCGGGAUGAGGACAUCACUGGCUAAGCCACAUUUAUUACCCAUCCCUAAUUGCCCAGCGGGCAGUUAAGAGUCAACUACAUUGCUGUGGGCCUGGAGUCACAUGUAGGCCA